CAGAAAGCUUUCUAGGGUUCCGUAGCAUUUGCUAGCCUGGUCCGAGAGAAGGCGCACACAAUAUAUGUGUGUUACACGGAAGGAUAAAAGCCUGGGAGAA
RNAcentral lists this small RNA (100 nucleotides) under Bacillus sp. (in: firmicutes). RNAcentral describes it as "Bacillus sp. Guanidine-I sequence". It matches the Rfam family "Guanidine-I riboswitch aptamer". Rfam says of the family: This family represents a conserved RNA structure found upstream of the ykkC and yxkD genes in Bacillus subtilis and related genes in other bacteria. The record is from RNAcentral. Lineage: Bacteria; Bacillati; Bacillota; Bacilli; Caryophanales; Bacillaceae.